GAUGAACGCUGGCGGCGUGCUUAACACAUGCAAGUCGAACGAACCUUCGGGUUAGUGGCGGACGGGUGAGUAACGCGUGAGAAUCUGCCCUCAGGAGGGGGAUAACGGCUGGAAACGGCCGCUAAUACCCCAUAUGCCGCGAGGUGAAACGAAUUUCGCCUGAGGAUGAGCUCGCGUCUGAUUAGCUAGUUGGUGGGGUAAAGGCCUACCAAGGCGACGAUCAGUAGCUGGUCUGAGAGGAUGAUCAGCCACACUGGGACUGAGACACGGCCCAGACUCCUACGGGAGGCAGCAGUAGGGAAUUUUCCGCAAUGGGCGAAAGCCUGACGGAGCAACGCCGCGUGAGGGAUGAAGGCCUCUGGGCUGUAAACCUCUUUUUUCAAGGAAGAAGAUCUGACGGUACUUGAAGAAUAAGCCACGGCUAAUUCCGUG
Molecule: ribosomal RNA, 432 nt
Filed under: uncultured bacterium
Lineage: Bacteria
Description: bacterial SSU rRNA
Rfam family: Bacterial small subunit ribosomal RNA
Source: RNAcentral